AGGAUGGAAAGUCCCUAUGACUAGCAAAUUCCUUUGUUCUGGCCUGAUGCCUUUGCCACGUCAGCCAUCAGCAGUUUGAAAUGGCUGUGCUCUCUUCUCAGAGACUGAACUGUUCUGGACAUCUCAACUGAAACAAAGCCUAGGAGGAAUAAAAGGGUUUUGGAUGGAAUACAUUAUAAUGAAAGGUUUGAUGCUAAGUGUUAUGUCUACUUCACUUCACUUUGUGCCUGCUGUUGCCUAACCUUUCAUUUCCAGACAUAUGGACUGAACAUUAACAAGGCAAGGAGACAAACAAAAUCCCUGCGCUGUAUGUAUAGAGAGUAAUGAUAAUCAGCCUUGUUCCUUUCAAACUUCAGAUUUAAAUGUAGAACAAUGCUAUUUCAGUGUACUGUAAAUCUGAUAAGUGUUUGACCAAUUAAAAGGUAAAAAGUUCAGGGGGUGUGGAAGAU
This 449-nucleotide long non-coding RNA is filed under the name Numida meleagris (helmeted guineafowl). RNAcentral's name for it is "lncRNA (ENSNMEG00000018654.1)". The record is from RNAcentral. Lineage: Eukaryota; Metazoa; Chordata; Aves; Galliformes; Numididae.